AUGGCUGAAAAUGAUGAUAAUGAAAAGAUGGCUGCCCUGGAGGCCAAAAUCUGUCAUCAAAUUGAGUAUUAUUUUGGAGACUUCAAUUUGCCAGGAGACAAGUUUUUAAGGGAACAGAUAAAACUGGACGAAGGCUGGGUAUCUUUGGAGAUAAUGAUAAAAUUCAACAGGUUGAACCAUCUAACAACAGACUUUAAUGUAAUUGUGGAAGCAUUGAGCAAAUCCAAGGCAGAACUCAUGAAAAUCAGUGAAGAUAAAACUAAAAUCAGAAGGUCUUCAAGCAAACCCCUACCUGAAGUGACUGAUGAGUAUAAAAAUGAUGUAAAGAAACAGAUCUGUUUAUAUUAAAGGCUUCCGAACUGAUGCAACUCUUGAUGACAUAAAAGAAUGAUUAGAAGAUAAAGAUCAAGUACUAAAUAUUCAGAUGAGAAGAACAUUGCAUAAAAUAUUUAAGGGAUCAGUUUUUGUUGUGUUUGAUAGCAUUGAAUCUGCUAAGAAGUUUGUAGAGACCCCUGGCCAGAAGUACAGACACAGGCCUGCUAAUACUUUUCAAAGAUGAUUACUUUGCCAAAAAAAUAAUAUUAAUAAAAAAAAAGAAAGAAGAAGAAAGAAAACAAAAUAAAGUGGAAGCUAAAUUAAGAGCUAAACAAGAGCAAGAAGCAAAUCAAAAGUUAGAAGAAGAUGCUGAAAUGAAAUCUCUAGAAGAGAAGAUUGGAUGCUUGCUGAAGUUUUCAGGUGAUUUAGAUGAUCAGACCUGUAGAGAAGAUUUACACAUCCUUUUCUCAAGUCAUGGUGAAAUAAAAUGGAUAGACUUCAUCAGAGGAGCAAAAGAGGGGAUAAUUCUAUUUAAAGAAAAAGACAAGGAAGCGUUGGGUAAAGCCAAAGAUGUAAAUAAUGGUAAUCUACAAUUACAGAGCAAAGAAGUGACUUGGGAAGUACUAGAAGGAGAGGUGGAAAGAGAAGCACUGAAAAAAAUAACAGAAGACCAACAAGAAUCCCUAAACAUAUGGAAGUCAAAAGGACACAGAUUUAAAGGAAAAGGAAAGGGUAAUAAAGCUGCCCAUCCUAGGUCUGGUAAAGAAAAAGUACAGUUUCAGGGCAAGAAAAUGAAAUUUGCUAAUGAUGAUGAACAUGAUGAAAAUGGUGCAACUGGACCUAUGAAAAGAUCAGGAGAAGAAACAGACAAAGAAGAACCUGUGUCCAAACAACAGAAAAGAGAAAAUGGUGCUGGAGACGAGUAG
This 1241-nucleotide long non-coding RNA is filed under the name Homo sapiens (human). Its description in RNAcentral is "non-protein coding lnc-PRKAB2-5:1". The record is from RNAcentral. Lineage: Eukaryota; Metazoa; Chordata; Mammalia; Primates; Hominidae.